Molecule: transfer RNA, 57 nt
Filed under: Elateroidea sp. 8 KM-2017
Lineage: Eukaryota; Metazoa; Arthropoda; Insecta; Coleoptera
Description: tRNA-Phe
Source: RNAcentral
GUUUAAAUAGCUUAUUUAGAGUUUUAUAUUGAAGAUAUAAAGGUAUUUUUUUAAACU